CAGAUGAUCACACGUGUGUUUAUCCGGUGGAUUAAUGAUGCCAUCAAAAGCUUUGAGUGACAAUACUACAGAAAUUAAUAUAAAGUCUAAUUAAAUCUUAAGUUGUAGUUUAUUUUAAUUAUUGUAAUUUAAACAGAGUUAUUACAGCACUUUUCUGAUUCUUGAUGUCCGUGCAUUUGCUGCAGAGCUUUUGUGGAGCAGGACCUGCAAGACAAGGUGACGGCGGCAUUUGUGAACAAAAAAAAAAAAAGGGAAAACCUGAAACAAAAAUAUAAAGUAAGAUCACUUUGUUACUUGUAAUACAAAAAUCAGAUAAUUAUCAGAUUGUGCUGAUAAAAUUACUGCUUUUGUAUUAUGAUUUUGUUUUUUUGUAGGAUGUGAAAUGUCCUCAGACUGCUGUGAGCACUGAGGAUGGAGAGACACAGCAGAUCCUGGAAAUGGUGUAGAGCCAUGGAUGAGACCCUCCAUCACUCCUCCUGCCCUUACUGCCUCAUCUGGACUGGAUGUUGCUGUGGUCUCUUCAUCCUCAGUGAGUCCAGAGCCAGCAAGAGCAUCUAGACAAAGACCAAAGGACAUUGAGGAUGUGAUUUUGGUCAGGUUGGUUCUGCUGGUUUCAGUUCAUACAAUGGAGCUUCAAAAGCAUCAUCAAAUAAUGUCAUGAAGCUUCUGGAAGUCAGGCUCCACUGACUGAUACUGUAUGAACUGAAACUAGCAGGGCAAACUUGACAAAUCACCUUUUGUGUUCAGAAAAAAAAAAAAAAAAUGAACACAGGGAUUGAACAGCGUGAAGGGAUGAUCCCGCUGGAGUAACUGGACUGGUGGAGACGCUGCAGAGAUCGAACCAGCAACCUUCUGCUGACCAGCUCAGUGGUUUAGACCACCACACCACACAAUCAUGCUGAUGGAGAGCACUCGAAUGUUUGGAGCAGACACAGCGGCAGCCAGAUUGUCCCACACAUCUUCUCCCACUCUUGAGGGGUUCAGGGGUCCAUCAUCAUCAUCAUGAUCUUCCUCAUCCUCUGGAUCAAUGCUGUCCCCAUUGAGAAGAGCAGCAGUGAGGGACAUGAUGGAUGAAGGUGUUCAUCAGAAUAAAGCUGCAGAAUGGGCACAGCUGUGUGAGAUGGCAGCAGGACUGCAAAUACGUGAUUGUUAGAUCAAUAAGUUUGAAUAAAGCUUUGUUUCGUGUGUUGUUGACUUGUAUAUGCAUUUAUUUAUUGUCAUUAUUACUUUUAUUAAUUCUUUUACUUUUUUUAUUAAUUAUGUUAUUAUUAGUAAAUUUAUA
This is a long non-coding RNA of Ctenopharyngodon idella (grass carp), 1282 nucleotides long. RefSeq lists it as uncharacterized. The transcript has 3 exons. The record is from RefSeq and is a predicted model, not a curated record. Lineage: Eukaryota; Metazoa; Chordata; Actinopteri; Cypriniformes; Xenocyprididae.